AAAUUUCCAGCCCCGCAUAAACCCACAUCCCUGCAGGGGGGACGGCCUCGCCUACCGCCUGCCGAGAGUGGUCGUCUCGCGUCCCGCGCCUUCCCGGGAAGGUUUCCAGCCAGCCGAGGCGCGGGCUGCACCGCCAGUGCACGAAAGCCGGGCCGAGGGGAGCGCGGGGCUCCGGGGACGGCGAGUGCCGAGAGCGCGCGGGGACCCGGGGGACCCGAAACCCAGCGCUGACGGCGGUGUCUUUCUGCUCCUCUCCAGCGUUCCAGCUCGGUUUCCCCCUCCCUGCCUCCCUCCCCCUUUCUCUCUCUCCCCCCUCAGCUCCUACUCAGGGUAGGGUGUGUCGUGACGUCACAGAGAUUCCGCCCAACUCCGCUGCACGUGGCGGGCGUGGGCAGCCGAGCAGAGCGGAGCUGCGCGGGGGCGAGCGGGGAGUGCCCAGGACUACCGCGAAGGGGCAGGGGAGGCCGUGGCCGGGGGCGCAGAGUCGGAACCCGAGAAAAAGCCCGGAGGAGAGCGAAAGGAGGAGAGGGAGCUGGGCAGGGCGCUGGGACAGGAGCUGUUCGCGCAGCAGGCGCAGGCCCGUCCACUGUGGAAGGAGGGCGAGAGGGAACAUGUGUGAACUCCUGAAACAGCUGAGAACCUGCUGUGCCCCAGGAAUUGAGAGCAACUGGAUGGCAG
This 678-nucleotide long non-coding RNA is filed under the name Dasypus novemcinctus (nine-banded armadillo). RNAcentral's name for it is "lncRNA (ENSDNOG00000049822.1)". Lineage: Eukaryota; Metazoa; Chordata; Mammalia; Cingulata; Dasypodidae. The record is from RNAcentral.